AACGAACGCUGGCGGCAUGCCUAACACAUGCAAGUCGAACGAGACCUUCGGGUCUAGUGGCGCACGGGUGCGUAACGCGUGGGAACCUGCCUUUAGGUCCGGAAUAACUCUCCGAAAGGGGUGCUAAUACCGAAUAAUGUCUUCGGACCAAAGAUUUAUCGCCUUUAGAUGGGCCCGCGUUGGAUUAGCUAGUUGGUGGGGUAAAGGCCUACCGAGGCGACGAUCCAUAGCUGGUCUUAGAGGANGAUCAGCCACACUGGGACUGAGACACGGCCCAGACUCCUACGGGAGGCAGCAGUGGGGAAUAUUGGACAAUGGGCGAAAGCCUGAUCCAGCAAUGCCGCGUGAGUGAUGAAGGCCUUAGGGUUGUAAAGCUCUUUUACCCGGGAUGAUAAUGACAGUACCGGAGAAUAAGCUCGGCUAACUCCGUGCCA
This 434-nucleotide ribosomal RNA is filed under the name uncultured bacterium. RNAcentral's name for it is "bacterial SSU rRNA". It matches the Rfam family "Bacterial small subunit ribosomal RNA", at positions 29 to 510 of the family's 1533-position model. The record is from RNAcentral.